This 23-nucleotide unclassified non-coding RNA is filed under the name Mus musculus (house mouse). Its description in RNAcentral is "oocyte_clustered_small_RNA11172". The record is from RNAcentral. Lineage: Eukaryota; Metazoa; Chordata; Mammalia; Rodentia; Muridae.
UAUCUUCUGAGGGCCUCCCACAG